Molecule: ribosomal RNA, 509 nt
Filed under: Staphylococcus aureus
Lineage: Bacteria; Bacillati; Bacillota; Bacilli; Caryophanales; Staphylococcaceae
Description: bacterial SSU rRNA
Rfam family: Bacterial small subunit ribosomal RNA
Source: RNAcentral
GAAGCAACGCGAAGAACCUUACCAAAUCUUGACAUCCUUUGACAACUCUAGAGAUAGAGCUUUCCCCUUCGGGGGACAAAGUGACAGGUGGUGCAUGGUUGUCGUCAGCUCGUGUCGUGAGAUGUUGGGUUAAGUCCCGCAACGAGCGCAACCCUUAAGCUUAGUUGCCAUCAUUAAGUUGGGCACUCUAAGUUGACUGCCGGUGACAAACCGGAGGAAGGUGGGGAUGACGUCAAAUCAUCAUGCCCCUUAUGAUUUGGGCUACACACGUGCUACAAUGGACAAUACAAAGGGCAGCGAAACCGCGAGGUCAAGCAAAUCCCAUAAAGUUGUUCUCAGUUCGGAUUGUAGUCUGCAACUCGACUACAUGAAGCUGGAAUCGCUAGUAAUCGUAGAUCAGCAUGCUACGGUGAAUACGUUCCCGGGUCUUGUACACACCGCCCGUCACACCACGAGAGUUUGUAACACCCGAAGCCGGUGGAGUAACCUUUUAGGAGCUAGCCGUCGAA